GCGCCUAUAGUUCAAUGGAUAGAGCACGGGCUUGCGGAGCCUGAGAUCGAGGUUCGACUCCUCGUAGGCGCG
RNAcentral lists this transfer RNA (72 nucleotides) under bacterium. RNAcentral's name for it is "tRNA-Arg". It matches the Rfam family "tRNA". Rfam says of the family: Transfer RNA (tRNA) molecules are approximately 80 nucleotides in length. Their secondary structure includes four short double-helical elements and three loops (D, anti-codon, and T loops). Further hydrogen bonds mediate the characteristic L-shaped molecular structure. tRNAs have two regions of fundamental functional importance: the anti-codon, which is responsible for specific mRNA codon recognition, and the 3' end, to which the tRNAs corresponding amino acid is attached (by aminoacyl-tRNA synthetases). tRNAs cope with the degeneracy of the genetic code in two manners: having more than one tRNA (with a specific anti-codon) for a particular amino acid; and 'wobble' base-pairing, i.e. permitting non-standard base-pairing at the 3rd anti-codon position. The record is from RNAcentral.